AUUGAACGCUGGCGGCAGGCCUAACACAUGCAAGUCGAGCGGAGCGGCGGACGCGUGAGUAAUGCCUAGGUAUCUGCCUCGUCGUGAGGGAUAACGUUCGCUACCGGGCGCUAUUACUGCAUACUAUCACCUGCGCCUAGGUCGGAUUGGCUAGUGGGUGGGGUAAAGGCCUACCAAGGCGACGAUCCGUAACUGGUCUGAGAGGAUGAUCAGUCACACUGGAACUGAGACACGGUCCAGACUCCUACGGGAGGCAGCAGUGGGGAAUAUUGGACAAUGGGCGAAAGCCUGAUCCAGCCAUGCCGCGUGUGUGAAGAAGGUCUUCGGGUUGUAAAGUACUUUCAGCGGGGAGGCGUUACCCGCAGAAGAAGCACCGGCUAACUCCGUGCCAGCAGCCGCGGUAAUUC
This 407-nucleotide ribosomal RNA is filed under the name uncultured bacterium. RNAcentral's name for it is "partial 16S ribosomal RNA". It matches the Rfam family "Bacterial small subunit ribosomal RNA", at positions 30 to 526 of the family's 1533-position model. The record is from RNAcentral.